Long non-coding RNA from Leopardus geoffroyi (Geoffroy's cat), 2084 nucleotides. RefSeq lists it as uncharacterized. NCBI's taxonomy places the organism in Eukaryota, Metazoa, Chordata, Mammalia, Carnivora, Felidae. The transcript is spliced from 2 exons. The record is from RefSeq and is a predicted model, not a curated record.
UGGAAGAGCAAACGUAAUGCACCCCACCCCCAUCCAGGGGACCAAGUAUGAGGAAGAAUGGGGCCCAGGUAGGACCCCCUUCCCAGCCCUCACACACCCCACUCCUCAGGUGUAGCCUGUUCCGGGGAAGGAACGUCCAACAGGAUGUGAGACUGAAGUUUGAAAAUAGAUGAGCCUACGCCUUAAUAACCAGAGGACAUUCUUUAAUAACCGGAAGUUUCCCAAACGUGAUGGAAUGGGACUGAGACACCAUUAGCGGCUUUUGAUAUUCUGAUUCAGCCCUGAGUCAGACUCCUUGUCACGGGUGGAGGCGCUUGAACCCACACAAGCAGAAAAACCAGCUCGAUAGUGACCCAGACGGGCGAGGUGACGGAGGGCCACGUGCAGAUGGCCAGCCAGGCUCCUCACCGCUGACCCCUGGACGAGAUGACGUGUCUCCCUCCUCGACGCUGCGCCUCCAAGAGCAAGACAAGAGGAAACGAGAUUUCUGUCGCGCUGAGUCGGCGUUCUGCACAGCUCUCUCAUUGAGUCCUUGUAUCAACCCUGGGGGCAAAUUUCCUCAGCCAGGAAGACUCUGCAGGUAUUCUGGGGGCGUGGAAUGAAAUAUUCCUUCUCCUUUCCCUUUUUUGUUGAAUGCCGAGCCACAGUCCCAAGGGACCCGUGACAGCCCGUGGGAUCGGGAUACAAAGUGCAGCAGCGACAGGACACGCAGAGGAGAAGGGGCUGCAGCAGCGAUGACCCUCCUGGGGCCCUGCGGGUGGGGGGAGGCUUCCCUUGAAGGAACACCCCUCACUGGCUGGGAAGAACACGAGGAGGAUGAACGUGAACGCGGUGCUCAUCCGCUUGAGCAAUGUCACGGGCACCCGGCCCUCAUCCGCCUACAGAUCAGCCCACAGCACCUGACCCCCAGGGAGCCGGCAGGGGAGCCCCUCCCUCCGGGGGAGCCUCUGUGAUAGUGGUAGCCUGUGGUGCGAGCCUCGUGGGGGAGGGCAGGCGGACCUCUCCCCCUCCCGCUGAGCCAGGACUGACUGGAAACGGGGCCCGAAUUCCAGGAGGAGGUCCCCGAUUUCAGGCCAGAAGCCUUGUCAGUGCCCCAAAGAGGCAGCACAGAGCAGAGCGGCUCAUGGAACACCAGCAGCCACUGAGCCUUCGCAGAGGGCAGAGCCCAGUGGGGGCGGCCAGUCAGCCAGCCAGGCCAUCGUGGGGCACCUCCUGAGUCCCCUCCGGGCUGUGACUGGACGUGCCGUUCUUGACCCUGAGUGUUUGGUCGUCUUCCCCGAGAUGAUCAGUCAGGUGCAGUCACAGGGAGACUGAGAAGAGGCUCCAGGACACAAGGUUUAUGACACUCACGGGUCCUAGAGAUGGCACAGCACACCGUGCGGGGGCCCGUGGAGACACCUGCACGGCCAGGAGGCAGAAUACGGAAGGGCGGGGAGGGGUUAGGCCCCUGCUUUCACUGGAGUUUCAGAGGGUAAGGCAAAGCAGGGCAGGAUUCACCGUUUGGGACUGGCUUGUUUGAAUGAUUUCGGAAGGCUUCAGGCUGGAGGGGUAGACUCCGGUAGCCUGGGACCUUGCCCUGGGACGACACAGGCGGAAGAAUGUUGCCUCCUUGGGUGCGUGGGCCGGACAGAGGAGUGCGGCUCUGGAUGGGUUAUUUUACACAUGGCAGGAUGCUCCUGGCUGGGGCUCUGCUCUCUCUAAGAGUCAGCUAGCCCUGGGAGGGGCAGUCUUCCCCACCAGGAACGUUUUUCUGUUUGUUUGUUUGUUUUGUUUUUCAUUUUUUAUAGAUAUCAAAACAUAAUAACGUACAUAUAACACAUUUAAAUCAGUGGACUUUGAGUAUAGCAGAUUGCCUUCCUUAAUGUGGGUGGGCCUCAUCCAAUCAGGUGAAGGCCUUCCUAAACCAGACUGACCUACCCCAAGAAAGAAGGACCUCUGCCAGCAGACAGCCUUUGGACUUGAACUGAAACUCUUUUCUACAUCUCCAGCCUGUUGGCUGGCCCCGUUAGAUUUGGGGCUCACCAAGUGUCCACAAUUGUGCGAGCCAAUUCCCUGAAGGAAAUCUCACUCCAUGUUUAUACACA